RNAcentral lists this transfer RNA (76 nucleotides) under Candidatus Aenigmatarchaeota archaeon. RNAcentral's name for it is "tRNA-Glu". It matches the Rfam family "tRNA". Rfam says of the family: Transfer RNA (tRNA) molecules are approximately 80 nucleotides in length. Lineage: Archaea; Nanobdellati; Candidatus Aenigmatarchaeota. The record is from RNAcentral.
AGUCCCAUCGUCUAGCGGGCUAGGACAUCGGCCUCUCACGCCGAAGACGCUGGGUUAACACCCGUUGGGACCACCA